UGAAACCGUGUGCUUACAAGUAGUCAGAGCCCGUUAAUGGGUGAUGGCGUGCCUUUUGUAGAAUGAACCGGCGAGUUACGAUUUGAUGCAAGGUUAAGCAGUAAAUGUGGAGCCGUAGCGAAAGCGAGUCUGAAUAGGGCGUUUAGUAUUUGGUCGUAGACCCGAAACCAGGUGAUCUACCCUUGGUCAGGUUGAAGUUCAGGUAACACUGAAUGGAGGACCGAACCGACUUACGUUGAAAAGUGAGCGGAUGAACUGAGGGUAGCGGAGAAAUUCCAAUCGAACCUGGAGAUAGCUGGUUCUCUCCGAAAUAGCUUUAGGGCUAGCCUCAAGUGAUGAUUAUUGGAGGUAGAGCACUGUUUGGACGAGGGGCCCCUCUCGGGUUACCGAAUUCAGACAAACUCCGAAUGCCAAUUAAUUUAACUUGGGAGUCAGAACAUGGGUGAUAAGGUCCGUGUUCGAAAGGGAAACAGCCCAGACCACCAGCUAAGGUCCCAAAAUAUAUGUUAAGUGGAAAAGGAUGUGGCGUUGCCCAGACAACUAGGAUGUUGGCUUAGAAGCAGCCAUCAUUUAAAGAGUGCGUAAUAGCUCACUAGUCGAGUGACACUGCGCCGAAAAUGUACCGGGGCUAAACAUAUUACCGAAGCUGUGGAUUGUCCUUUGGACAAUGGUAGGAGAGCGUUCUAAGGGCGUUGAAGCAUGAUCGUAAGGACAUGUGGAGCGCUUAGAAGUGAGAAUGCCGGUGUGAGUAGCGAAAGACGGGUGAGAAUCCCGUCCACCGAUUGACUAAGGUU
This 794-nucleotide ribosomal RNA is filed under the name Staphylococcus aureus. RNAcentral's name for it is "partial 23S ribosomal RNA". It matches the Rfam family "Bacterial large subunit ribosomal RNA", at positions 551 to 1352 of the family's 2925-position model. Lineage: Bacteria; Bacillati; Bacillota; Bacilli; Caryophanales; Staphylococcaceae. The record is from RNAcentral.